Molecule: ribosomal RNA, 483 nt
Filed under: uncultured bacterium
Lineage: Bacteria
Description: bacterial SSU rRNA
Rfam family: Bacterial small subunit ribosomal RNA
Source: RNAcentral
CAGGACGAACGCUGGCGGCGUGCCUAACACAUGCAAGUCGAACGGAGUUAAUGAUUUCGGUUGUUAACUUAGUGGCGAACGGGUGAGUAACGCGUGAACAACCUGACCCAAAGAGGGGGAUAACAUUUGGAAACAGAUGCUAAUACCGCAUAAGACCACAACGUCACAUGGCGAAGGGGUCAAAGGAGCAAUCCGCUUUGGGAGGGGUUCGCGUCCCAUUAGGUAGAUGGCGGGGUAAACGGCCCACCAUGCCAACGAUGGGUAGCCGAGCUGAGAGGCUGAUCGGCCACACUGGAACUGAGACACGGUCCAGACUCCUACGGGAGGCAGCAGUGGGGAAUAUUGGGCAAUGGGCGCAAGCCUGACCCAAGCAACGCCGCGUGAGGGAAGAAGGUUUUCGGAUUGUAAACCUCUGUCGCAGAAGACGAAGGAAGUGACGGUAUUCUGUGAGGAAGCCCCGGCUAACUACGUGCCAGCAGCAGC